UCUUUCCCAUCUGGCGGCCGCGGCUCCUGUCCUGACCCUGACCCUCCCUCCCGAGGCUCAGCCGUCCCCCAACAACCCCCAGCCUUGUACUGAUGUCGGAUGCGAGAGCCUGUGCUUAAGUAAGAAUCAGGCCUUAUUGGAGACAUUCAAGCAAAGGUUGGACAACUACUUUUCCAGAACAGAAAGGAAACUCAUGCAUCAGAAAAGGUUAGAGCGUGAUGACUGAUAAGAUCUCCC
RNAcentral lists this long non-coding RNA (237 nucleotides) under Pan troglodytes (chimpanzee). RNAcentral's name for it is "long non-coding RNA NONPTRT005079". The record is from RNAcentral. Lineage: Eukaryota; Metazoa; Chordata; Mammalia; Primates; Hominidae.